This is an RNA transcript of Jaculus jaculus (lesser Egyptian jerboa), 3156 nucleotides long. It is a transcript of the gene named cadherin 24, with no coding region annotated. The record is from RefSeq and is a predicted model, not a curated record. The transcript is spliced from 13 exons. NCBI's taxonomy places the organism in Eukaryota, Metazoa, Chordata, Mammalia, Rodentia, Dipodidae.
CCUGCAGCGGAGCCGCGGCGCCGGCUUGGAGCUGUUCGGGGCUGUGCCUCCAAGAGCGAGCUACGGAGGCGGGCUGGGGCACUCCCAGCUGCCCAGGGCCACUCGGCUGUGUCAGGUGUGGAUCCAUGGGGUAGCUCCAGCACAUCUACCCCAGCCAGCUCAUGGGCCACCUGGCCCUGCCCAGCCUCAGCACCCAGAGCCAGUGAACACCCUGGCUGGAUUCCAAAUAUGUGGGGCCUUGUGAGGCUCCUGCUGGCCUGGCUGGGUGGUUGGGGCUGCAUGGGGCAUCUGACAGCCCUAGUCCAGGCCAGGACGGGGUCCCAGGGGCGCUCAGGUCCUACACUGCUGCGAACCCGAAGGAGCUGGGUCUGGAACCAGUUUUUUGUCAUUGAGGAAUAUGCUGGUCCAGAGCCUGUCCUUAUUGGCAAGCUGCACUCCGAUGUUGACCGGGGUGAAGGCCGCACCAAGUACCUGCUGACCGGGGAGGGGGCAGGCACUGUAUUUGUGAUUGAUGAGGCUACAGGAAAUAUUCAUGUGACCAAGAGCCUAGACCGGGAGGAGAAAGCCCAAUAUGUGCUGCUGGCCCAAGCUGUGGACCGAGCUUCCAACCGGCCCCUGGAGCCUCCAUCAGAGUUCAUUAUCAAAGUGCAGGACAUCAAUGACAACCCACCUGUAUUUCCCCUUGGGCCCUACCAUGCCACGGUACCUGAGAUGUCUAACGUUGGGACAUCCGUGAUCCAGGUGACUGCUCAUGAUGCUGAUGACCCCAGCUAUGGGAACAGUGCCAAGCUGGUAUAUACUGUGUUGGAUGGAUUGCCUUUCUUCUCUGUGGACCCCCAGACUGGAGUGGUGCGUACAGCCAUCCCCAACAUGGAUCGGGAGACCCAGGAGGAGUUCUUGGUGGUGAUCCAGGCCAAGGACAUGGGUGGCCACAUGGGGGGGCUGUCAGGCAGCACUACAGUGACAGUCACCCUCAGCGAUGUCAACGACAACCCACCCAAGUUUCCUCAGAGCUUGUACCAGUUCUCUGUGGUGGAGACUGCAGGGCCUGGAACCCUGGUGGGUCGGCUACAGGCCCAGGACCCAGACCUGGGGGACAACGCCCUCAUGGCAUACAGCAUCCUGGAUGGGGAAGGGUCAGAGGCUUUCAGCAUCAGCACAGACUCUCAGGGCCAAGAUGGGCUCCUCACUAUCCGGAAGCCCUUAGACUUCGAGACCUGUCGCUCCUACUCUUUCCGUGUGGAAGCCACCAACACACUCAUUGACCCAGCCUACCUGCGGCGAGGUCCGUUUAAGGAUGUAGCCUCAGUGCAUGUGGCUGUACAAGAUGCUCCAGAGCCACCUGCCUUCACCCAGGCCAUCUACCACCUGAUAAUACCUGAGAACAAAGCUCCUGGAACCCUGGUGGGCCAGGUCUCAGCCACUGACCUGGACUUUCCAGCCAGCCCAAUAAGAUACUCCAUCCUCCCACACUCAGAUCCAGAGCGUUGCUUCUCCAUUGAGCCGGAAGAUGGCACCAUCCGAACAGCAGUGCUACUGGACCGCGAGACUCAUGUCUGGCAUAACCUCACUGUGCUAGCUACAGAGCUCGACAGCUCUGCACAGGCCUCCCAAGUGCAAGUGGCCAUCCAGACCCUGGAUGAAAAUGACAAUGCUCCCCAGCUGGCUGAGCCCUAUGACACCUUUGUGUGUGAUUCUGCAGCCCCUGGCCAGUUGAUCCAGGUCAUACAAGCCCUGGACAGAGAUGAAGUUGGCAACAAUAGCAGAGUAUCCCUUCAAGGUCCUCUGGACCCCAAUGCUAACUUUACACUCCGGGACAACAGAGAUGGCUCUGCAAGCCUGAUGCUGCCCUCCCGCCCUGCCCCACCCCGCCUAGCUCCUUACCUAGUUCCUAUAAAGCUGUGGGAUUGGGGACAGCCAGCCCUGAGCAGCACUGCCACAAUGACUGUCAGCAUGUGCCGCUGCCGGCCGGAUGGUUCAGUGGCAUCUUGCAGACCUGAAGCUCAGCUUUCACCUACUGGUCUCAGCACUGGUGCCCUUCUUGCCAUCCUCACUUGUGUGAGCACCCUUCUUGCCCUGGUGGUGCUUUACGUGGCCCUGCGGCGGCAGAAGCAGGAAGCACUUAUGGUACUGGAGGAGGAGGACGUCCGAGAAAAUAUCAUCACCUAUGAUGAUGAGGGAGGCGGCGAGGAGGACACCGAAGCCUUUGACAUCAUGGCCCUGCAGAAUCCAGAUGGUGCUGCUCCGCCAGCCCCAGUGCGCCGCGAUGUGCUGCCCCGGACCCGAGCACCACGCCAGCCCAGGCCACCAGGCCCCUCGGAUGUGGCCCAGCUCCUGGCACUGCGGCUGCGCGAGGCAGAUGAGGACCCCAGCAUGCCCCCAUAUGAUUCUGUGCAGGUGUACGGCUAUGAAGGCCGGGGCUCCUCCUGUGGCUCCCUCAGCUCCCUGGGCUCAGACUGCGAGGCUGGCGGUGCUUCCGGCCCCACAGAACCAACGGACGACUGGGGUCCACUCUUCUGCACCCUGGCCGAGCUGUACGGGGCCAAGGAGCCCCCGGCCCCCUGAGCGCCUGGCGGGGCCCUGCCCGCAGCUUAGGGACCCCGCACAGGCCCGCUGAGUGAGCCCCACAGGGUCCCCGCAGGCAGCAGCAGCCAAAGGGCCCCAGGCCCGCACCCAGCCCGUGUGUCUCCUUCCUUCCCCAGAGCACCCUCGCUCUUAUCUCCCUCUCCUGAGUCGGUCUGUGUGUCUUUCUCCUGAGAUCUCUGUCUGUCUGUGACUCUCACACUGUUGGGGAUCUUGGUUUUAUGACCCUGACCCUGAAUCUCUGUUCUUUCACUGUGACCCUCCGUGGCUGUUAUUGUCUCUGUAGUUUUAAAUCUCUCGCCAACUUUGUCUACCUUGCCCAUACACAUGCUCAGUGUCUGUCUCUCACCCACAAGACUUCUCUUUGGGUCCCUGUGACUGGCUUCUUUUUUUUUUUUUUUUUUUCUGUUAUCCAUCCCAAAAGCAAGAGAAAACUUCCAGCCACUGCUGCCCAACCUACUACAGGGGAUGCUAUGCCCCAGACCUGCCCGCAUGGUUCCAUCCUUCGCUCAUGACCUCAUCCUGGCUUCUCACAGAAGGGAAGAACUGAGCCAGCGCCGCCUCCCAGGGCGA